AACGAACGCUGGCGGCAGGCUUAACACAUGCAAGUCGAGCGCCCCGCAAGGGGAGCGGCAGACGGGUGAGUAACGCGUGGGAAUCUACCGAGCCCUGCGGAAUAGCUCCGGGAAACUGGAAUUAAUACCGCAUACGCCCUACGGGGGAAAGAUUUAUCGGGGUUUGAUGAGCCCGCGUAGGAUUAGCUAGUUGGUGGGGU
Molecule: ribosomal RNA, 200 nt
Filed under: uncultured bacterium
Lineage: Bacteria
Description: partial 16S ribosomal RNA
Rfam family: Bacterial small subunit ribosomal RNA
Source: RNAcentral